GGGACCGCGGGAGGAGGAGGAGAGGCGGGGCUGGUGCGGCGCCGCGCUGGGAGUGGGCUGGACAGGACGCCGCCGCGCAGACCCAGGUACCCGCGGCCGCUGCCCGCCCCACGGCGGGGAUCGGGAGCGCUAAGUGCGGCGGUUCGGCUCGGUGGUUUGUUUUUGUUUUAAUCGACACUCCCGCCGCCUCCCCGUGCAGCGCGGCCUCUCUCGGGAGGGUUGGCCGUUAUGGAGGUCCCGCCCCGGCUCUCGCAGGUGCCGCCGCCAUUGUUCCCCUCGCCUCCCUCCGCUCUGGCCCCCCGCAGCCUCUCCCAUUGGCGGCCCCGGGCUCCCCGGCUGCUCGCCCCGCUGCUGCCGUCGCUGAGUUCCGGCUCCGCCCGGCAGGGGGCGCGCCGAGCGCCGCGCCACGUCACCGCCCCCCAGCCCUCCCGAUUGGCGGGCGGGGCGUCUAUAAAGGGAGGGCGCAGGCGGCGCCCGGAUCUCUUCCGCCGCCAUUUUAAAUCCGGCUCCAUACAACGCGCCGCCGCUGCGACUCCCUCUCCGCGCCACCUGCCCCCGGCCGACAGCCCCGCCGCCAUGGAGGAUGUGAAUGAGUACAGCAACAUGGAGGAGUUCGCCGAAGGCUCCAAAAUCAACGCGAGCAAGAACCAGCAGGACGACGGUAAAAUGUUUAUUGGAGGGCUAAGCUGGGAUACGAGCAAGAAAGAUCUCACUGAAUACCUGUCUCGUUUUGGAGAGGUUGUAGACUGCACAAUUAAAACAGAUCCCGUCACGGGAAGAUCGAGGGGAUUCGGAUUUGUGCUUUUCAAAGAUGCUGCCAGUGUUGAUAAGGUCUUGGAACUUAAAGAACACAAGCUGGAUGGCAAGUUGAUAGACCCCAAAAGGGCUAAAGCUUUAAAAGGAAAGGAGCCCCCAAAAAAAGUAUUUGUCGGCGGACUGAGCCCAGAUACAUCUGAAGAACAAAUCAAAGAAUAUUUUGGAGCGUUUGGAGAGAUUGAAAAUAUUGAACUUCCUAUGGACACAAAAACAAAUGAAAGAAGAGGAUUUUGUUUUAUCACAUAUACAGAUGAAGAACCAGUAAAGAAAUUAUUAGAAAACAGAUAUCAUCAGAUUGGUUCUGGGAAGUGUGAAAUCAAAGUUGCCCAACCCAAAGAGGUAUACAGGCAGCAACAGCAACAACAGAAAGGAGGGAGGGGCGCUGCAGCUGGCGGACGAGGUGGGACUAGGGGUCGUGGCCGAGGUCAGGGCCAAAACUGGAACCAAGGAUUUAAUAACUAUUAUGAUCAAGGAUAUGGAAAUUACAAUAGUGCCUAUGGUGGUGAUCAAAACUAUAGUGGCUAUGGCGGAUAUGAUUAUACUGGGUAUAACUAUGGGAACUAUGGAUAUGGACAGGGAUAUGCAGACUACAGUGGUCAACAAAGCACGUAUGGCAAAGCAUCCCGAGGAGGUGGUAAUCACCAAAACAAUUACCAGCCAUAUUAAAAGAGGACUUGGAGAAAACAGCGGGAACUUCAUUGCAGGCCGUGUGUCACCCUGACCACGUCUCUCUCUGGGGGUCGCACGUUGCGGGCAGAGCGCAAGGCACACACCAGAAAACGCUGUCCUGUGGUGCAGAUGCUUACAGCAGCCUAUCUUGCAGGAUGACGACAUUGAAUGGAGAGUGGUCUUCUAUUGAUCUGAGAUGACUAUUUUGUAAAAGACUUUUAGUGUACAUGACACAACUGUGUCCAAUUGUAUAUAGCGGCCGAUUUAGUUUUCUUGUUUUUGCUUUGUCCUUUGCCAUCUGUGUUAUGACAAAUGUGGAUUUGUGUUUAUACAAAUUUUAUUUGUAUAAUUUCAUGUUAAAUGAUUCUCAAAAAUAAAUUACUUGUGAUUGUU
Antechinus flavipes (yellow-footed antechinus) is the source of this 1878-nucleotide RNA transcript. It is a transcript of the gene named heterogeneous nuclear ribonucleoprotein D like, with no coding region annotated. The transcript has 9 exons. The record is from RefSeq and is a predicted model, not a curated record. NCBI's taxonomy places the organism in Eukaryota, Metazoa, Chordata, Mammalia, Dasyuromorphia, Dasyuridae.